AGUAUCGCGUAGGGAUUUAUCGUUGGGUGGUGGAUAACCGCGGGAAACUGCGGCUAAUACAGCAUGACGCCUGUGGGCCAAAGGUCGCAAGACCGCCUGACGAGGAGCCUGCGUCCGAUUAGCUAGUUGGUUGGGUAAUGGCUGACCAAGGCUGUGAUCGGUAGCUGGUCUGAGAGGAUGAUCAGCCACACUGGGACUGAGACACGGCCCAG
This 212-nucleotide ribosomal RNA is filed under the name uncultured bacterium. RNAcentral's name for it is "partial 16S ribosomal RNA". It matches the Rfam family "Bacterial small subunit ribosomal RNA", at positions 109 to 334 of the family's 1533-position model. The record is from RNAcentral.